AUGAGGGUGUUAAGGACAAAUUUGGAUGCCAUGUGGAGCUCCAAGGAGCUCCACCACCCAUGGCCGGCCACCCCUAGGGGUCCCCCCCAAAUGGGGUUCCUUCCCUUGUUCGGGUUUGCAAGAGGUGGAGGUUCGGGUUUGCAAGAGGUGGAGGGUGCGCCACGGCGACCCUUGCCACUAGGGUACUACCCAGUUCUCGGUGAAAGUGUUCUCAACGGCCGAACCGGCAAAAGGAUGCAGUCACUGAUCUUCGCGGGCCCCACCUUCUUCCAGAGGCUGAUCCACAUGGCAGACGACAAGGUGAAUUUCCGGAACACGGGGCCGGUGCACCCGCUCGAGGAAGCCGGUCGCGGACAACAAGAGGUUCGGCGGGGUCAAGUUCGGGGAGUGGAGCGCGACUGCCUGCUGGCCCAUGGCACGGCCGCCAACCUCCACGAGCGGCCCUUCACCCUGAACAUCAUCAUGCGCCCGUUGCGGGCGGGCGGAAGAUCCGGGGCCCCUACUGCAGGUUCUGCCGCUCAUCGGAGAACAUCGUCAGGAUCACCGUCGCCUACAGUGCCAAGCUGCUCUACCAGGAGCUGUUAA
Molecule: ribosomal RNA, 585 nt
Filed under: Triticum aestivum (bread wheat)
Lineage: Eukaryota; Viridiplantae; Streptophyta; Magnoliopsida; Poales; Poaceae
Description: partial small subunit ribosomal RNA
Source: RNAcentral